Molecule: unclassified non-coding RNA, 348 nt
Filed under: soil metagenome
Description: partial contains 5.8S ribosomal RNA, internal transcribed spacer 2, and large subunit ribosomal RNA
Rfam family: 5.8S ribosomal RNA (bases 1-120)
Source: RNAcentral
GAUGAAGAACGUAGCGAAAUGCGAUAAGUAAUGUGAAUUGCAGAAUUCAGUGAAUCAUCGAGUCUUUGAACGCACAUUGCGCCCCCUGGUAUUCCGGGGGGCAUGCCUGUCCGAGCGUCAUUGCCGCCCUCAAGCACGGCUUGUGUGUUGGGCCCCCGCCCCCCGGCUUCGGGGGGCGGGCCCGAAAGGCAGCGGCGGCACCGCGUCCGGUCCUCGAGCGUAUGGGGCUUCGUCACCCGCUCUGUAGGCCCGGCCGGCGCCCGCCGGCGACCCCUAUCAAUCUUUCCAGGUUGACCUCGGAUCAGGUAGGGAUACCCGCUGAACUUAAGCAUAUCAAUAAGCGGAGGA